CCUACGGGCUGCAGCAGUGGGGAAUAUUGCACAAUGGGCGCAAGCCUGAUGCAGCCAUGCCGCGUGUAUGAAGAAGGCCUUCGGGUUGUAAAGUACUUUCAGCGGGGAGGAAGGGAGUAAAGUUAAUACCUUUGCUCAUUGACGUUACCCGCAGAAGAAGCACCGGCUAACUCCGUGCCAGCAGCCGCGGUAAUACGGAGGGUGCGAGCGUUAAUCGGAAUUACUGGGCGUAAAGCGCAUGCAGGCGGCCUGUUAAGUCAGAUGUGAAAGCCCGGGGCUUAACCUCGGAAUUGCAUCUGAUACUGGCAAGCUUGAGUCUCGUAGAGGGGGGUAGAAUUCCAGGUGUAGCGGUGAAAUGCGUAGAGAUCUGGAGGAAUACCGGUGGUGAAGGCGGCCCCCUGGACGAAGACUGACGCUCAGGUGCGAAAGCGUGGGGAGCAAACAGGAUUAGAUACCCCCGUAGUC
Molecule: ribosomal RNA, 465 nt
Filed under: uncultured bacterium
Lineage: Bacteria
Description: bacterial SSU rRNA
Rfam family: Bacterial small subunit ribosomal RNA
Source: RNAcentral